CUUCAAUAAAAUAAUAUUACACGCAAAACCAAAAAUUUUCCUUAUUUUUUAAUCACACAUUUUUCAUCAAAAUACUAUUCCAAAAUGCAUGUUGGACAAAAAAUGAGGCUCAAACAGGCUCUAAAUGAUAACAAGGCUCAGCUUCCUCAUUUUAGUUGUAGGGUCGAAUAGCAUCAUUCUCCAUCAAAAUACUAUUCCAAAAUGCAUGUUGGACAAAAAAUGAGGCUCAAACAGGCUCUAAAUGAUAACAAAGCUCAGCUUCCUUAUUUUAGUUGUAGGGUCGAAUGGCAUCAUUCUCCUCCUAUUGGAAAAGAUCCACCCUCGAAUCUUGCACUAUGUUCUUAGGUCGACUUCAUUAUCUUGUAAUGGAAACAAAAUUAAAGUAUCAUCCAUCCAUUUUUUCAUCCAAAUUAUUUAGCAUCCAAAAAAAGAAAUCAAAGGAUUUUCUGCGCUAGUUGCAUCAUAUUUCUAUUAGGGAACACGGGACAAACUAAACUAUGAAUUUGAUGGCAAUGGAGUUUAAACAUUCCCAAAAUGAUGCACAGAGGACUCCUGCUCUCAUGAGAAGCUUUCUUGAAAUUGCUGCUAAUAUUUUGCAAAAUUACAAUAAGAAUCAUUUCUAAAGCAGCUUUGUACAACCUUAAAUCAAGAUUAUUUCCAGCAAUGAGCAAUAGUCAAUUCUUGAAGUUCCAUAAUUGAUUGUUGGUAAUUGAAUGCACAGAGAACUGGCUAGGAAUUUCUAUUAUGUAUCUUGAAAAAUUCGAAGUCAGUUUCCUCAUUGAAAAUUGGUGGACCAUCAUAACUGUCAUUAUUCAAAUCCACAAA
Molecule: long non-coding RNA, 825 nt
Filed under: Olea europaea subsp. europaea
Lineage: Eukaryota; Viridiplantae; Streptophyta; Magnoliopsida; Lamiales; Oleaceae
Source: RNAcentral